AGAGAUCAUGGCUCAGAAUCAACGCUGGCGGCGUGCCUCAGACAUGCAAGUCGAACGAUUAAAGCUCCCUUCGGGGAGUGUAUAGAGUGGCGCACGGGUGAGUAACACGUAAGUAAUCUACCUUUGAGUGGGGAAUAACAUCGGGAAACCGAUGCUAAUACCGCAUAAUGCAGCGGCACCGCAAGGUGACAGUUGUUAAAGGAGCAAUUCGCUUGAAGAGGAGCUUGCGGCAGAUUAGCUAGUUGGUAAGGUAAUGGCUUACCAAGGCUACGAUCUGUAUCCGGUCUAAGAGGACGGUCGGACACACUGACACUGAAUAACGGGUCAGACUCCUACGGGAGGCAGCAGUCGGGAAUUUUGGGCAAUGGGCGAAAGCCUGACCCAGCAACGCCGCGUGAAGGAUGAAGUAUUUCGGUAUGUAAACUUCGAAAGAAUGGGAAGAAUAAAUGACGGUACCAUUUAUAAGGUCCGGCUAACUACGUGCCAGCAGCCGCGGUAAUACGUAGGGACCAAGCGUUGUUCGGAUUUACUGGGCGUAAAGGGCGCGUAGGCGGCGUGGUAAGUCACUUGUGAAAUCUCUGAGCUUAACUCAGAACGGUCAAGUGAUACUGCUGUGCUAGAGUGCAGAAGGGGCAAUCGGAAUUCUUGGUGUAGCGGUGAAAUGCGUAGAUAUCAAGAGGAACACCUGAGGUGAAGACGGGUUGCUGGGCUGACACUGACGCUGAGGCGCGAAAGCCAGGGGAGCAAACGGGAUUAGAUACCCCGGUAGUCCUGGCCCUAAACGAUGAAUACUUGGUGUCUGGAGUUUUAAUGCUCCGGGUGCCGCCGCUAACGUUUUAAGUAUUCCCGCCUGGG
This 855-nucleotide ribosomal RNA is filed under the name uncultured Acidobacteriota bacterium. RNAcentral's name for it is "bacterial SSU rRNA". It matches the Rfam family "Bacterial small subunit ribosomal RNA", at positions 8 to 877 of the family's 1533-position model. The record is from RNAcentral. Lineage: Bacteria; Pseudomonadati; Acidobacteriota.